UAAACGAUGGAUACUAGCUGUUCGGUUUUCGGACUGAGUGGCUAAGCGAAAGUGAUAAGUAUCCCACCUGGGGAGUACGUUCGCAAGAAUGAAACUCAAAGGAAUUGACGGGGGCCCGCACAAGCGGUGGAGCAUGUGGUUUAAUUCGAUGAUACGCGAGGAACCUUACCAGGGCUUAAAUGUAGAUUGACAGGUUUGGAAACAGACUUUUCUUCGGACAAUUUACAAGGUGCUGCAUGGCUGUCGUCAG
This 250-nucleotide ribosomal RNA is filed under the name uncultured bacterium. RNAcentral's name for it is "partial 16S ribosomal RNA". It matches the Rfam family "Bacterial small subunit ribosomal RNA", at positions 803 to 1058 of the family's 1533-position model. The record is from RNAcentral.